This 253-nucleotide ribosomal RNA is filed under the name uncultured bacterium. RNAcentral's name for it is "partial 16S ribosomal RNA". It matches the Rfam family "Bacterial small subunit ribosomal RNA", at positions 524 to 776 of the family's 1533-position model. The record is from RNAcentral.
UACGGGGGGGGCAAGCGUUGUUCGGAAUUACUGGGCGUAAAGGGCUCGUAGGCGGCCAGCUAAGUCAGACGUGAAAUCCCUCGGCUUAACCGAGGAACUGCGUCUGAUACUGGAUGGCUUGAAUCCGGGAGAGGGAUGUGGAAUUCCAGGUGUAGCGGUGAAAUGCGUAGAUAUCUGGAGGAACACCGGUGGCGAAGGCGGCAUCCUGGACCGGUAUUGACGCUGAGGCACGAAAGCGUGGGGAUCAAACAGG